ACCAUGCAGUCGACGGUGAAGCCAAGCUUGCUUGGUGGAUCAGUGGCGAACGGGUGAGUAACACGUGAGCAACCUGCCCUGGACUCUGGGAUAAGCGCUGGAAACGGCGUCUAAUACUGGAUAUGAGACGUGAUCGCAUGGUCGUGUUUGGAAAGAUUUUUCGGUCUGGGAUGGGCUCGCGGCCUAUCAGCUUGUUGGUGAGGUAAUGGCUCACCAAGGCGUCGACGGGUAGCCGGCCUGAGAGGGUGACCGGCCACACUGGGACUGAGACACGGCCCAGACUCCUACGGGAGGCAGCAGUGGGGAAUAUUGCACAAUGGGCGGAAGCCUGAUGCAGCAACGCCGCGUGAGGGAUGACGGCCUUCGGGUUGUAAACCUCUUUUAGCAGGGAAGAAGCGAAAGUGACGGUACCUGCAGAAAAAGCGCCGGCUAACUACGUGCCAGCAGCCGCGGUAAUACGUAGGGCGCAAGCGUUAUCCGGAAUUAUUGGGCGUAAAGAGCUCGUAGGCGGUUUGUCGCGUCUGCUGUGAAAUCCCGAGGCUCAACCUCGGGCCUGCAGUGGGUACGGGCAGACUAGAGUGCGGUAGGGGAGAUUGGAAUUCCUGGUGUAGCGGUGGAAUGCGCAGAUAUCAGGAGGAACACCGAUGGCGAAGGCAGAUCUCUGGGCCGUAACUGACGCUGAGGAGCGAAAGGGUGGGGAGCAAACAGGCUUAGAUACCCUGGUAGUCCACCCCGUAAACGUUGGGAACUAGUUGUGGGGACCAUUCCACGGUUUCCGUGACGCAGCUAACGCAUUAAGUUCCCCGCCUGGGGAGUACGGCCGCAAGGCUAAAACUCAAAGGAAUUGACGGGGACCCGCACAAGCGGCGGAGCAUGCGGAUUAAUUCGAUGCAACGCGAAGAACCUUACCAAGGCUUGACAUAUACGAGAACGGGCCAGAAAUGGUCAACUCUUUGGACACUCGUAAACAGGUGGUGCAUGGUUGUCGUCAGCUCGUGUCGUGAGAUGUUGGGUUAAGUCCCGCAACGAGCGCAACCCUCGUUCUAUGUUGCCAGCACGUAAUGGUGGGAACUCAUGGGAUACUGCCGGGGUCAACUCGGAGGAAGGUGGGGAUGACGUCAAAUCAUCAUGCCCCUUAUGUCUUGGGCUUCACGCAUGCUACAAUGGCCGGUACAAAGGGCUGCAAUACCGUGAGGUGGAGCGAAUCCCAAAAAGCCGGUCCCAGUUCGGAUUGAGGUCUGCAACUCGACCUCAUGAAGUCGGAGUCGCUAGUAAUCGCAGAUCAGCAACGCUGCGGUGAAUACGUUCCCGGGUCUUGUACACACCGCCCGUCAAGUCAUGAAAGUCGGUAACACCUGAAGCCGGUGGCCCAACCCUUGUGGAGGAGCCGUCGAAG
Molecule: ribosomal RNA, 1396 nt
Filed under: Microbacterium testaceum
Lineage: Bacteria; Bacillati; Actinomycetota; Actinomycetes; Micrococcales; Microbacteriaceae
Description: bacterial SSU rRNA
Rfam family: Bacterial small subunit ribosomal RNA
Source: RNAcentral